Molecule: ribosomal RNA, 178 nt
Filed under: Muribaculaceae bacterium
Lineage: Bacteria; Pseudomonadati; Bacteroidota; Bacteroidia; Bacteroidales; Muribaculaceae
Description: partial 16S ribosomal RNA
Rfam family: Bacterial small subunit ribosomal RNA
Source: RNAcentral
ACAGCGGAGAGUUUGAUCCUGGCUCAGGAUGAACGCUAGCGGCAGGCUUAACACAUGCAAGUCGCGGGGCAGCGGGGGAUGAGCUUGCUCAUCCCGCCGGCGACCGGCGCACGGGUGAGUAACACGUAUGCAACCUGCCCCUGUCAGGGGGACAACCCACCGAAAGGUGGGCUAAACC